CAAUGAUUAUAAAUAGCUGCAGUAUUUGACUGUGCAAAGGUAGCAUAAUAAUUAGUCUUUAAUGAGGACUUGUAUGAAAGAUUGAUGAGAAAUAAACUUUAUUAUUUAUAUAAUUAAAAUUUUAUUUUUAAGUAAAAAAGCUUAAAUUAUUUAAAGGGACGAUAAGACCCUAUAAAACUUUAUAAAUUUUAAUUUUAAUUUUUUUGGUUUUAUAAAUAUUUUAUUUUUAUAAUUUAUUUUAUUGGGGUGAUAAAAAAAAUUAAUAAACUUUUUUUANAAUUUAACAUUAUUUAAUGAAUUUUUGAAUUAAAAUUUUUAAUUAAAGGAAAAAGUUACUUUAGGGAUAACAGCGUAAUUAAUUUUUUAAGWCCAAAUUUAAAAAUUAGUGUGCGACCWCGAUGUUGAAUNAAGANNAAUCUUAGGUGCNNNNNNNNAARUAUUAGGUCUGUUCGACCUUUAAAGGCUU
Molecule: ribosomal RNA, 466 nt
Filed under: Rhopalosiphum padi (bird cherry-oat aphid)
Lineage: Eukaryota; Metazoa; Arthropoda; Insecta; Hemiptera; Aphididae
Description: partial 16S ribosomal RNA
Source: RNAcentral